CCCGACUACAUGAAGCCGGAAUCGCUAGUAAUCGCGGAUCAGCACGCCGCGGUGAAUACGUUCCCGGGCCUUGUACACACCGCCCGUCACACCAUGGAAGUCUGCAAUGCCCGAAGCCGGUGGCCUAACCACUUAUGGUGGAAGGAGCCGUCUAAGGCAGGGCAGAUGACUGGGGUGAAGUCGUAACAAGGUACC
RNAcentral lists this ribosomal RNA (195 nucleotides) under uncultured bacterium. RNAcentral's name for it is "partial 16S ribosomal RNA". It matches the Rfam family "Bacterial small subunit ribosomal RNA", at positions 1311 to 1500 of the family's 1533-position model. The record is from RNAcentral.